RNAcentral lists this long non-coding RNA (177 nucleotides) under Marmota marmota marmota (Alpine marmot). Its description in RNAcentral is "lncRNA (ENSMMMG00000021240.1)". Lineage: Eukaryota; Metazoa; Chordata; Mammalia; Rodentia; Sciuridae. The record is from RNAcentral.
GUCUGUGUGGAUCCUGGUGGCUGUGCACCAGAGCAGUUUCCUUGACUGAUACGAGUUGGCAUCCAUUGGAAGAGUUUGUGAAACCCCCUUUCUGCCCAGAGCUCCAGGACCAAUGCAUCUUCCCACCACCUUAAACCACUGGCACAGAUUGUUGACCAAAAUGUACACACAGGGAGA